Molecule: long non-coding RNA, 1368 nt
Filed under: Panax ginseng (ginseng)
Lineage: Eukaryota; Viridiplantae; Streptophyta; Magnoliopsida; Apiales; Araliaceae
Description: long non-coding RNA (PGIN_LNC017351)
Source: RNAcentral
AAUGUAUUGGAAUAAUAAUUAACAACACAGGAGUAGCCAAACUUGAUAAACUCUUGUGAUUUGAUUUGUAGGUAGGUGGAGGGUAUUUCUGAGGAGAGGGCAGCUUGGCCGAGAUCAAGGCCACAAACAUCAGCAAGCUGAACCAGGUAGAGUAAAACAUCUGAGACUUCUUCCUCUAGGUACGUAGCCCUUUUGCAACCUCUCCUUUCCAUUGAAAUAUCUCACACACCUCUCUCACACACACACACACACACACUCAUAUAUAUAUAUAUAUAUAUAUAUAUAUAUAUACAAACAUACAUUUGUACACAAAACAAGGAGAUUAUUAUGUUAUAUUCUUUUUACGUUUUGUGUUGCAAAUCCCGGAUACUGCGAAUUAGGAUCCUCUCCAUUUCUCCAUUUCAAAUGAAAUGGAGAGGAUCUAUUUCAUGGUCUAGAUUUAAAAUGUGCUGAAAAUGAUGAAUGGAAGAGAGUGAUAAUGAUGGGAAAUAUCCUCCAUUUCAAGUUUAACCGUUGGUGUUCAGUGCUAAUUGCAGACAAAUAAUUUUUUAUCAGCAAUUAUGUGGGCGCCGAUGCUCAAACAUGUUGGUAUGCUCUACGGCCUAUAGAAAAAGUCUAGGCAGACGAGAAAAUAGGACAGAAAUAUUGGAUAAGAUUAUAUUUAACUUUUAUCUAUUUAUGUUUUGACCCUCAAAAAGGGGUAAAAAUAUAAAUAGAUGAAAGUUAAUUACACCUCCUGUCCAAUAUUCCUGUUCCAUAUUUCUGUCUGCAUUUGGUUGGUCUAUAAGCUAUUGCAACAUGUUUCUCUUCCUCAACCAACCCCACAAUUUGCUUUGCCAUAACUAAUUCAUGCCAAAGAUGGCGAUGAAGCUGUUUGUGCUUCCAAACACAGCCACUAGUCCUUAGAGGAAACCCAAGUGUGCUGGCUUUUGUACUUGUAUAUUUUAUCUUUCUUCCAGAUCCACCUUUCUUUUUUGGACAUAUUAGGCUUCACAUCUCUUACUUUAGUCCUACUGUCCAACACUAGCUAAUUUUGAAGUAUAUCCUCCAUGAGUAACUGCUCUAAUUUUAUUUUGCAGGGGAAAAACAGAGGGAUAAUAAAAGAAUUUGAUUACAUUCAAUACUAGCCAAUAUGAGUUACAGGACUAAUACACUAACAAAAUACUAGCGCAUGUACAAUAUGCAGGGAAAGAACGGGGCAAAAACAUGGAACAUAAAUAUGUUGGGGGAAAACAAAACAAAAAAAUUUCCAGAAUAUACCAAUCAGUAGCUGAUAUUAUCUUCAUUCAGAAUGGAAGUAUGUUAGGUAAACCAUAGUAAUCCAUGAAGAAAAGGAAAUUCUGAAAUUACUGAAAACAUCAUAUGUAC